AAUCAACGCUGGCGGCGCGCUUAACACAUGCAAGUCGCACGAGAAAGGGAGCAAUCCUGAGUAAAGUGGCGUACGGGUGAGUAACACGUGGGAAUCUACCUCUUGGCGGGGAAUAACCCUGGGAAACCGGGGCUAAUACCGCAUAAGCUCGUGAGAGGAAAGCAGCAAUGCACCGAGAGAGGAGCCCGCGGCCGAUUAGCUAGUUGGUGGGGUAAUGGCUCACCAAGGCGAAGAUCGGUAGCCGGCCUGAGGGGGCACACGGCCACACUGGCACUGAAACACGGGCCAGACUCCUACGGGAGGCAGCAGUGGGGAAUCUUGCACAAUGGGGGAAACCCUGAUGCAGCGACGCCGCGUGAGCGAUGAAGCCCUUCGGGGUGUAAAGCUCUUUCGACAGGAACGAUAAUGACGGUACCUGGAGAAGAAGCUGCGGCUAACUACGUG
RNAcentral lists this ribosomal RNA (444 nucleotides) under uncultured bacterium. RNAcentral describes it as "partial 16S ribosomal RNA". It matches the Rfam family "Bacterial small subunit ribosomal RNA", at positions 29 to 507 of the family's 1533-position model. The record is from RNAcentral.